UGCGUAGGUGGCGGGGUAAGUCAGGUGUGAAAUUUCGGAGCUUAACUCCGAAACUGCAUUUGAUACUGCCUUGCUUGAGGACUGGAGAGGAGACUGGAAUUCACGGUGUAGCAGUGAAAUGCGUAGAUAUCGUGAGGAAGACCAGUGGCGAAGGCGGGUCUCUGGACAGUUCCUGACACUGAGGACGAAGGCCAGGGGAGCGAAACG
This 207-nucleotide ribosomal RNA is filed under the name uncultured bacterium. Its description in RNAcentral is "partial 16S ribosomal RNA". It matches the Rfam family "Bacterial small subunit ribosomal RNA", at positions 568 to 775 of the family's 1533-position model. The record is from RNAcentral.